RNAcentral lists this ribosomal RNA (901 nucleotides) under mouse gut metagenome. RNAcentral describes it as "bacterial SSU rRNA". It matches the Rfam family "Bacterial small subunit ribosomal RNA", at positions 245 to 1173 of the family's 1533-position model. The record is from RNAcentral.
AACGCGGUUGGACGACACCGUUCGACGAUGCGUAGGGUCUGAGAAGGAAGCCCCCACAUGUACUGAGACACGAACAGACUCCUACGGGAGGCAGCAGUGAGGAUAUGUCAUGCCGAAGCUGACCAGCAAGCGCGUGAGGGAGAAGGCGCAGAGCGUCGCAGACCUCUUUUGCCGGGGGACAAAAGGCCGGACGGGUCCGGUUCUGAGGGUACCCGGAGAAAAAGCAUCGGCUAACUCCGUGCCAGCAGCCGCGGUAAUACGGAGGAUGCGAGCGUUAUCCGGAUUCAUUGGGUUUAAAGGGUGCGCAGGCGGGCCUUUAAGCCGGCGGUGAAAUCGCGGGGCUCAACCCCGCCGAGCCGUCGGAACUGGGGGCCUUGAGUGCGGCGGAGGCAUGCGGAAUGCGCGGUGUAGCGGUGAAAUGCAUAGAUAUCGCGCAGAACCCCGAUUGCGAAGGCAGCGUGCCGUGCCGCCACUGACGCUGAGGCACGAAAGCGCGGGGAUCGAACAGGAUUAGAUACCCUGGUAGUCCGCGCCGUAAACGAUGGAUGCUGGGUGUCCGGGGCGUUCAGGCCCUGGGUGCCGGAGCGAAAGCGGUAAGCAUCCCACCUGGGGAGUACGCCGGCAACGGUGAAACUCAAAGGAAUUGACGGGGGCCCGCACAAGCGGAGGAACAUGUGGUUUAAUUCGAUGAUACGCGAGGAACCUUACCCGGGCUCAAACGGGGGGCGCGGGCGGCAGAGACGCCGCCGUCCUUAUGGACGUCCCCCGAGGUGCUGCAUGGUUGUCGUCAGCUCGUGCCGUGAGGUGUCGGAUUAAGUUCCAUAACGAGCGCAACCCCCGCGCGCAGUUGCUAACGGGUCAGGCCGAGGACUCUGCGCGAAUCCACCACAGUGACGAGAGG